AACGAACGCUGGCGGCAUGCCUAACACAUGCAAGUCGAACGAGACCUUCGGGUCUAGUGGCGCACGGGUGCGUAACGCGUGGGAACCUGCCCUUAGGUUCGGAAUAACUCCCCGAAAGGGGUGCUAAUACCGGAUAAUGUCUUCGGACCAAAGAUUUAUCGCCUUUGGAUGGGCCCGCGUUGGAUUAGCUAGUUGGUAGGGUAAAAGCCCACCAAGGCGACGAUCCAUAGCUGGUCUGAGAGGAUGAUCAGCCACACUGGGACUGAGACACGGCCCAGACUCCUACGGGAGGCAGCAGUGGGGAAUAUUGGACAAUGGGCGAAAGCCUGAUCCAGCAAUGCCGCGUGAGUGAUGAAGGCCUUAGGGUUGUAAAGCUCUUUUACCCGGGAUGAUAAUGACAGUACCGGGAGAAUAAGCGCCGGCUAACUCCGUG
This 433-nucleotide ribosomal RNA is filed under the name uncultured bacterium. RNAcentral describes it as "partial 16S ribosomal RNA". It matches the Rfam family "Bacterial small subunit ribosomal RNA", at positions 29 to 507 of the family's 1533-position model. The record is from RNAcentral.